UACAGAGGGUGCAAGCGUCAAUCGGAAUUACUGGGCGUAAAGGGCGCGUAGGUGGUUACGUAAGUGAGAUGUGAAAUCCCUGGGCUCAACCUGGGAACUGCGUCUUAUACUGCGUAGCUUGAGUACAAUAGAGGGUAGUGGAAUUUCCGGUGUAGCGGUGAAAUGCGUAGAUAUCGGAAGGAACACCAGUGGCGAAGGCGGCUACCUGGAUUGAUACUGACACUGAGGCGCGAGAGCGUGGGGAGCAAACAGG
Molecule: ribosomal RNA, 253 nt
Filed under: uncultured bacterium
Lineage: Bacteria
Description: partial 16S ribosomal RNA
Rfam family: Bacterial small subunit ribosomal RNA
Source: RNAcentral